Long non-coding RNA from Dromaius novaehollandiae (emu), 443 nucleotides. RefSeq lists it as uncharacterized. Lineage: Eukaryota; Metazoa; Chordata; Aves; Casuariiformes; Dromaiidae. The record is from RefSeq and is a predicted model, not a curated record. The transcript has 4 exons.
UACAAAGUAAAAUAAAUCUAACCAACUUCUUUGUAGUCCAGUAGAUGAAGUGGCUGAUUCUGUUUUUCCAGGACUCAAGUCCUCUGUGGAGGUGAUUUCUUUUUCCUAAUCUUCAUGGAGGCAUCGGAAAGUCAAUAACUGCUGCUUACUGCAAGGGGACUGAGAAGAGACUAUUUCUGUGCCUACAAAGAUGAAGGAAAAAGGAACAGCAAGAAUCGUUUUCUGAACCGUGCAAGUGGAGAAGACAUGACCAUUUGCCUGCUUUUGGGGCUGGCGGGUCAUGGACGCUUCGUGCAGCAUGGUGCUGGGCCGCAGAAGGAACAUGCAACUCUGUGGAUGACUGAAGAUGAAUCCUACAUUCGCAGAGACUUUUCCUUGUUGGUAAUCAGAUGUUUUUUCCAGGUAAGCAAUGUUCUUUUUAUAGUUCUCCGAAGUUUUGCUCU